This is a long non-coding RNA of Gorilla gorilla gorilla (western lowland gorilla), 3289 nucleotides long. RefSeq lists it as uncharacterized. The record is from RefSeq and is a predicted model, not a curated record. The transcript is spliced from 2 exons. NCBI's taxonomy places the organism in Eukaryota, Metazoa, Chordata, Mammalia, Primates, Hominidae.
UGUGACACUGCAAGAGGGUUCACAAAUCAAGCUCUCAGAAGAAAACCGCCAUCUCUUCCCGUCUUGAGCCCCUUGGGAGAGCGAUGCAGUGGAGCAGGCCCCCUGUCCACCCAGCCUGCUGGGCUCCGCAGCCCCAGCUCUUGCCCGGGAAUGGCCGGUCCAGCAGCCAAUUAAUGAGCUGGACCCUGGACUUCACUAAAGUAAGAGCUGCCGUCCCACGAGACGCUCACAUGGUUGGACGGGCAGUGGCACGUGAGCAGACACCGUGACACGCGUCCCUCAGAGGACUCGUGUCCACACAGGGCGAGGAACUCCUAUGAUCCACACGAAAACAUCAGACAACGCGACAGAAAAACGGCAAACACAAUGCAGGCGCCGUACAAGACCAGCAGGCAUCGGCCAGCGGGACCAGGAGGCAUCUCUGUCCCCAGACACUGCUCCUGGGGGACGCCAGCUUUGGGCCCUGCACGUCAGGGACAGUGCAGCGAGGCCACACAGCACCACAGAGCCUUCUCUGGAAAAGCGGCCCUGGCCACGCCAGGCACUCACGACAGAGGCCGGAUACUCGAGCAGAGGCAGGUUCCUGGGUCCUCAGUGGCCACGGGGUCCUGAAGUGGGGCUGAGUCCCAACCAAGCAGGGACCCACUCGCCACACAGAGCACAAGCCAGUGCUCACCAGCAGAUGGAGGGAAGUAGCCAAGUGCAAACGCCAUGCCAGGGGGCUCCGUUUAUACAAAGGUGCAAAUCCAGGCUGCUGGAGGCAGGGAUGGAGUCAGCCACAGGGCUCGAGGCCCAGGACUGCUAAUCCCCAGUCUGGGCGCUGACCCCCGAGAGCUCACUCUGCAGACGUGAGUCACCGUGGGCUGCCUCUCUCCACCAUGCUGGGCUUCAGCACAGUCUCAAUAAGAAGAAGAAUGGAUGUGAACAUUAAGAGGGAAAAUCAGAAAGUGGAGGCUACAGCUGGCUGUGAUCGCACCACUACACUCCAGCCUGGCGGGGAGGGGAGGGCCACCACUCCAUUUUCAUUAAACCACUAGAACCCCACGGCCAGGGAAGGAGGCAGCCCAGGAACACUGCCUGAAGCAGAGGUGGGGGACACGGCAGUCCCAGGAGGCCGGAGGGACCCCUGAGACUGGGUGGAUGUGGCUGAGGAUGGGAGGGGGCCCUGCCAACUCCAGGACACAGGCCAGCCUGGGCCUCACAGGCCAGCCUGGGCUUCACAUGCCAGCCCUCCACCUGGGCAGCACUGCAACCCAGCGCUUUGCAUCUCAGGCCAGUUCAGGAGACACCCUGGCCCGGGAGAGGCUGCAGGUGAGCAGUGAGGAGGGGCCACAGCAAAGCCCCCCACUCCGGCUCUGGCUCAGGGGCCUGAGCCCCACAGGUUGACCCCCGAGCAAGGCCCGGUGAGGAGCCCAGCCCCACUCGGAGACUGAGUCCAGUGCAGAGGCUCUGCCUGCAGGGCUGGGCUCCCGAUCCGUGCCCCGGCUGCGAGUUGGAGCACAGGACUCCCUGUAAUUCUCAGGGGCAUAAACCUCCUGGCCAGCUUGGCCUCUCCAAUGCUCCCUCCUCACCCUGCCCAGGACCGCGAGAGCUUCCACAGGAACGGGUGGAUGUUUUACAAGCAGAGCUCUCCCUGUCAGUGACUAAGAGGAGCCCCCACCCAGCAGCCGGGCUCUGCUUCUUCAGGGAGACCCCACAUGGCCUCAUCUGUCCACAGACCUCACCUGUCGGGUGGCACUGCCUCCCUCACCUGGCGUGAGACCCUGCCGAGGUGGGCACCAAGGCCUGGGCCAGGGCAGGCUCCAGCACCAGGGGCUUCCUUUUCCUGUGGCACCAGUGAGCCCCAGACAAGGAGGGGGUCCCGUGGGCAGCUCUACAGCCAUCAGGGAAGGCAGCUGGCUCUGCCCUCCCCACGGCCUCCUGCAGCCUCCUGGCUGGGCCUCCCCAUGAGCAGCUUCCACAGGCGGCAGCCAGAGAAACCCCACCUUGCCCUCGGAGGCCCCGCGGAGCCCAGCCACCACCCAGGGUGACCCACAGGCCCUCCCCAUGGGCCCCUGUGGCACUAUUCCCCUCGGCGGGGCCUCUGAGGGCAGCCCCCAGGUGGUGCACCGCUGCGUCCUGUUUGGCCAGGACCGCACCAGCUUCAGCUUUGACUGAAUGGCUGCGUGAAUGAAACAUAAGAACCAGAGAGAAUCUGUGCCAGGCUUCUGUGACAGCGGCAGCCCCUGUGUCCCGAGGACCCGCCCAGCACAGGCCGCUUCUAGCCAUCCCAGCACUGACUAUGCCUCACCCAGAGCAGGUCCAGGUGGACACAGUUCCACCGGCCAGCCCAGCUCCAUGGCCCCACCCGGGUCAUGACCCAGAGCAGGUCCAGGUGGACACAGUUCCACCGGCCAGCCCAGCUCCAUGGCCCCACCCGGCUCAUGACCCAGAGCAGGUCCAGGUGGACACAGUUCCACCGGCCAGCCCAGCUCCAUGGCCCCACCCGGGUCAUGACACUUGACUCUCCAGAUCUCUGCAGACCCUCCCAUCCCCACUGGGGGCUGUCUUGGAGGGAGGUCACUCCCUCCUGCCCCAGCAGCUCCCCACUGCCUGCUCUGCCACCAGCUGGGGGCAGGCUCUGCAGGGUUCCUGCUCCCAGGAUCCACACACUGACCUUAGCUUUUGCCCAUGGAGCACCCAAGAAGGGUGAGGCAUGGCCUGGGCUGAGCUCCCCCACUCCAGCCUCCUCUACACAGGGACCUUCGCCACAGAAUGGCACAGGCCAGGGAGGCCGACGCAGCAGUCUGCUGGCGGGGGGACAAGUGAGAGGGGCACUGCUCCUUAGGGUUGCAGGCCCCAUCCCCUGCCAGGCCGUCCACCUCCACCAGAUCCACACGCAACCUCCUCCUUGCCAGGAUCCCACCAGAAUCGGCCACAGCUGGAAUCACACUAAGCCGGGGCCUCCUCCCUGCCAAACACCUCCACUUAGCCAGAGCAGGGCUCAUCACAGGCAGCCGCAGAACCGACUGGAGGUCUUUGCUAGUAGGGGACAUGCAUCUGCCGAGCCCCGAGAUGGGCCCGGCAAUGGAGAUGAAGGACUUGGGACCGCAAAAAAGCCAAUGCCAUGAGCCCACACUGUGAUCCUUCUGCAGCAGGGGGCGCCUUCUGUCUCUGCGCCCAGACUCUCAGCCACAGCCAGCUUAGCCCAGGCCAGCAGCCACACUUGCCCGACCUGCUGGCUAAUGGACCCCGGCCAUACGCCAUUGGACCUUUCCAACAAGACAGGGGCAGGGUGCCCCAUGUGUGA